RNAcentral lists this ribosomal RNA (438 nucleotides) under uncultured bacterium. Its description in RNAcentral is "partial 16S ribosomal RNA". It matches the Rfam family "Bacterial small subunit ribosomal RNA", at positions 339 to 795 of the family's 1533-position model. The record is from RNAcentral.
CUACGGGCGGCACCAGUGAGGAAUAUUGCACAAUGGGGGGACCCUGAUGCAGCAACGCCGCGUGGAGGAUGACGCAUUUCGGUGUGUAAACUCCUUUUAUAUGUCAAGAAAAUGACGGUAGCAUAUGAAUAAGCACCGGCUAACUCCGUGCCAGCAGCCGCGGUAAUACGGAGGGUGCAAGCGUUACUCGGAAUCACUGGGCGUAAAGGACGCGUAGGCGGGUUGGAAAGUCAGGUGUGAAAUCCUACAGCUUAACUGUAGAACUGCACUUGAAACUUCUAAUCUAGAGUAUGGGAGGGGGAGAUGGGAUUAGUGGUGUAGGGGUAAAAUCCGUAGAUAUCACUAGGAAUACCUAAAGCGAAGGCGAUCUCCUGGAACAUUACUGACGCUAAGGCGUGAAAGCGUGGGGAGCAAACAGGAUUAGAUACCCCCGUAGUC